AGUGAACGCUGGCGGUAGGCCUAACACAUGCAAGUCGAACGGCAGCACAGUAAGAGCUUGCUCUUACGGGUGGCGAGUGGCGGACGGGUGAGGAAUACAUCGGAAUCUACUUUUUCGUGGGGGAUAACGUAGGGAAACUUACGCUAAUACCGCAUACGACCUACGGGUGAAAGCAGGGGAUCUUCGGACCUUGCGCGAUUGAAUGAGCCGAUGUCGGAUUAGCUAGUUGGCGGGGUAAAGGCCCACCAAGGCGACGAUCCGUAGCUGGUCUGAGAGGAUGAUCAGCCACACUGGAACUGAGACACGGUCCAGGCUCCUACGGGAGGCAGCAGUGGGGAAUAUUGGACAAUGGGCGCAAGCCUGAUCCAGCCAUACCGCGUGGGUGAAGAAGGCCUUCGGGUUGUAAAGCCCUUUUGUUGGGAAAGAAAAGCAGCAGGCUAAUACCCCGCUGUUCUGACGGUACCCAAAGAAUAAGCACCGGCUAACUUCGUG
This 492-nucleotide ribosomal RNA is filed under the name uncultured bacterium. RNAcentral describes it as "partial 16S ribosomal RNA". It matches the Rfam family "Bacterial small subunit ribosomal RNA", at positions 29 to 507 of the family's 1533-position model. The record is from RNAcentral.